CACUGUGCAGGCUGAGAGCAGAGUUUGCAUUUGAAAGUACAGAGGGGAGAAAGCAAGGCUUUGCCAGACCCUGAUAAACUACUCUUCAGAACCGCAGGGUGGGAGAUAAGUCAGGUUGCCCGCAUUUGCAACCUCCGGCUUCAGGGCACACGGACGUGCUCACAACAUAGGUGCACUGCAGAACACAGUGGUGGGUGAAGAGUGUGGAUACUGAGGUCCAGGAAGCCAGAGUAUAACCCGGAAGACUGGAAAUGUUCAAGGAAAAACAGCCUAUAUGGGAGUAGAAGCUUCCUCCACCUACUUCUAUAGCGACCAGCCAAGAACUGCAGCUUCCUGUCGCACACAUCCUACCUCAGAGCGAGGUCUGUGCUCAGUCCAUAAGCUGUCUGAAGCUCCCUGCGCUUUCUUGAGUGACAGUCGCCUCUGUGAUACCUACGGAGAUGAUUCAUCGACGUGCUGACUGAAGGUGACAGUAAAACCCCAAGAUGGGUGAUACUUCUUUUAUUCGUUUUAUCUCUAAAUGGAAAUGACAUUAAGGAUGGCAGAAAUGAUAAGGCCAUAUCAAUGCUUGUGUGUAUAGAUGGGUAGACAGAGAUACAAUGACCCAGAUGCUAGCUUUCUAAUCCCUCAACAUUGAUUUACAUUAGGCAUUGUGUGUUCUAUGCGAAAUAUUAAACAGAACAUUUUGAUGCUACACAGAAUAAUUUAAUUGUUCUGAAAAACCUAUAUGUUCCAUGUAUUCGCCUUUAUUUUUCCCUGGUCCUUGGUUAUUAGUCUUUUUUUUUUUUUUCCUGUCCCACAGUUUUGACUUCUUCAUGAUGUCACAUAGUAGGAAUCAUAUAGUAGGUAGAUUUUUCAUUUCUGUUUCUUUCACUUAGUAAUAGGUAUUUAAAGUUUUCCCUAUGUUUUUGUGGCUUGAAAUGGAUUCCUUUUCAGUGAUGAAUAAAAGACCAUUGUUGGAUAUUCCACAGCUUCCUUGUUCACUCACCUACCGCGGAGAAUUUUGGAAAUUACGACUAAUGCUGCUACAAAAAUCUCAUUUAUCUAAAUCUUCCAAAGUGUCUGAAUAAUUUUGCAUUAAUAUCGGUGAUUUGUAAGAGUUUUUUGUUGCUUCAGGUCCUCAAAGCAUUUGAUCUUGUCAGUUCUUUGGAUCUUUCCUAUGCUGGUAGUUAUUAUCCAUCUUUUUGUUUGUUUUUGAGACAGGGUUUCUCUGUGUAGCCUGGGCUUGCUCUGUAGACACCAGGGUGGGCUUGAACUCUCUGGGAGAUACGCCUGUCUCUGCCCUCCCGAGUACUGGCAUUAAAGGCAUGUGCUACCAUGCCUGGCAAGUAUUCCACAUUUUACUCAUGUUUUAAAAUGGCUGCUUAGAUGUCUUUUUAAGAUAGAGACAAGCAGAAAUCAGGAACAACAACAACAAUCAAGAAGAAACCAAAUUAUUCAUUAUACCCAUUGCCCUAUCAGCUAAUUACUUUUCAUAUUUGGUAUAUUAUCUGUGUAUAUGGAUGUAUUUCUCUUUUUGUUUCGUCUAAAGCUGUGUGGAGAUCAGUUAAGCUAAAAUAAAAUUCAAAAUGUUCAUUCAUGGCAGAA
This is a long non-coding RNA of Meriones unguiculatus (Mongolian gerbil), 1587 nucleotides long. RefSeq lists it as uncharacterized. NCBI's taxonomy places the organism in Eukaryota, Metazoa, Chordata, Mammalia, Rodentia, Muridae. The record is from RefSeq and is a predicted model, not a curated record. The transcript has 2 exons.